GGGGGCGACAGGUUUCGACGGGGGACACGGUGGCAGGAGGAGCGAGCCGGGGUGCCACCAGCCCGUAAAACGGUGGCAAGGCAAUAAACGCCAACAAGUCCGAACUCGCCCUGGCUGCGUAAGCGGCCAGCAUCUCGCCCGCCCUCGCCUGCGGGGCGGGACGGGGUGUCGACCCGGCAGGCUGGCCUGACCGCUUAUUCUCGGCGGCGGCAGGGACGACCAUCGAGAUAGCCGCGGAAUGAGCCCGGCUGCGGGCGCGUCCGCGGCGAAGGCAAAACGCAGCCUGCGCUCGGAGAGCCUUCUGUGGCUGGUCUUCCGGACGGUGGGUUCGAUUCCCCCCGCCUCCACCA
Molecule: transfer-messenger RNA, 350 nt
Filed under: Bacillota bacterium
Lineage: Bacteria; Bacillati; Bacillota
Also listed under: 3 other names
Rfam family: transfer-messenger RNA
About the family: Bacterial tmRNA, also known as 10Sa RNA or SsrA, is named for its dual tRNA and mRNA-like properties.
Source: RNAcentral